RNAcentral lists this long non-coding RNA (2312 nucleotides) under Sinocyclocheilus grahami. Its description in RNAcentral is "lncRNA (ENSSGRG00000018233.1)". Lineage: Eukaryota; Metazoa; Chordata; Actinopteri; Cypriniformes; Cyprinidae. The record is from RNAcentral.
CUGUUGUUGCAUUCUAUAAAAUACCAAACCAUGUGGCAUGAUCAUAUAGUGAGAUGUCUAAACGUUUCCAAAUACUUUUGUUGCCACUCCAUAUGGGGAAUCCAGACAGUAAGUUUGUUAAUAAUAAGCUAUUUAUUUUCUCCCGCGCCAGGUAUUCUAUUGAACAAGAUCCUGCAGGCUGGUUCAGAGUAGACAAAACAACUGGGGAAAUCUUUGUAAAAGAGUCUUUGGACAGAGAGUCAAGUCAUGUGACCAAUGGGACUUAUACAGUCACUGUCCUUGUGACAGAGAAGGGUAAUACAAUAUAACUGUUUUGCAUUAAGCUUGCAAAUAACUGGUAACGACUACAUCUAUCCAUCCAUGUUCGAAAUCGCUUGUCUUAUGUAGGGUCUCAGAGAUGCUGGAGCCUAUUCCAAUGUGCUGGGCUGUAGAAAGAGACAAAACCUACAUAGUUUACAAACUUUUAUCAUCUAGAAGUAUUAUUUUCCAUUUUUCUCUGAUUUUUCACACCAGAUGACCAUCCUCCAAUGACAAGCACUGCUACCAUUCAGAUCCACAUUGAAGACAAAAACGACAAUGUCCCUAUUUUAAAGGAGAACAUGGUUUCUGUCUGUCAGUCUGAUGAAGUGUCAAGUACAGAGAUCACAGCCUAUGACCUUGAUGGAGAUCCUUACAGUGGUCCAUUCAGUUUUGAAAUUAUGGGAGAUCAUAAGAAAGAAUGGAGCUUUGACCCCAGUCAUGGUUACACAGUGCAUUUGGUGAAGGAUAAAAGCAUCCAUGCCAGUCUGAACACAUUGAUUGUGAAAGUCUCUGAUAAACAGGGCAGGUUUGUCCUCCAGAAUCUCUCUGUUGCUGCGUGUGAUUGUGCGGUUUCACCAAACUGUCUGAUGGAGCGCAACACACAGCAAAAAGUGGGAAGUGGCUUGAUAGGAAUUACCAUUCUUGCCGCGCUGAUGAUAUUUGCUUGUCUGUUGCUGUCUCUCGUUUGCUCUUAUGGGCCUGUGAAGUCUCUGGUGCAGGUAGACAAUGUCUUAGAAGAUGCCCUUCUGCCUUCUAACAUCGAGAAACCUGGCUCUGAUUGUGUGGUAAAACCUUACAUUAAGAUUUCUUGCGAAAAGCUAAAUGGCCCUUUCACAGUGAGGUCUAAUACAAAGAUAACAAAUGAAUGGUCUACUCUAUUUUUUUUACAUUCAUAAAGGUCCCGACUAUUCUUUUAAAGAAGGCAUCUGUUAGUCACUCAAAGGAUGCAACUUUUGUCAGUAAUGGGGCUCAACAGACAACUGACAUUCAGGGGGUAUGCUAAACAUUUCUGUUUGUUUCAUAAUGAGAUCUCGGAAACACUAUACAUUUCUUAUAAAACCACUGUCAUUCUUUACACUACAAAUCAUUGUAUUGUAUUCAUUUUGUUUGUUGAUUACAGGUAUCUAGCCAAAUUAUAGCCACUCAUAGUCUCCCAGUUCAAAUGGAUGAGUGCUGGUCUAGAGACAGAUCACAUUAUUCCAGUGAGGUAAUACAACAGUUCAUGUAUGAAAUUGUCCCAAUCAAAUAUCCUUUGAAAGUGAAAGCUCAGUAUUUACUGUAUACUGUCUUCUGUUUCUAAGAAACAGACAUGGAUGUGGAAACAGUAUCAGAGUGAAAACCGCUACCAGGUAAACCUUAAUCAUUUCAUGGCAUGUCUAAAUUUGUUACUGUUCAGUGAAACUAGUGAAAUCUUUAAAUCAGUAAUAUACAUGGGGUUUUCUUACACCCUUAGGGUUCAACAUUUAGCAGGAGGAGCUCACAAAGAAGACAGGGUACCUAUUUCAUCAGCAGCUCAACUCUACAAAGUUUGCUCUCUCAGGUACAUUCGCCUUCAGUUUUCCACCCAGACACGCAGCAGGUCAAUUCAACAUUAAUUCAUCCAUUCAUUCACUGACUAAACAUAUUUCUUUCUCAACUUUCAGAGAUUGCAUUCAAUACAGGGCCUAGAAAAUGAAUUGCUUGAUUACGAACCUCAGCUUUACGCAGUUGAGGACAACUCUGAUCAUUUUGUAGACCUGGACCCCAUAGACCUGCCUAUGAAUGAGUUUGAUCCUGAGCUGCUCUCAGACCUCGGACCAGCAUUUAAGCAUCUGGCUUCUAUCUGUAACCCAGGGACACUGUCAAAACCAGAAGUGAUGAAGAAUGGGAUCAGAUAGUCUAGUGAUGAAGAUGAGGAUGAAGAUGUUUCACCUUCUUAUUCAGGACUGGUCACUUGAAAGCAGAAAGAAAGAAAGAAACCAAUGGAGAGAUUUUUUUAAAUAAAAUUAAAAAAAUUUAAAGAAAAACUGCAG